RNAcentral lists this ribosomal RNA (787 nucleotides) under uncultured bacterium. RNAcentral's name for it is "bacterial SSU rRNA". It matches the Rfam family "Bacterial small subunit ribosomal RNA", at positions 94 to 899 of the family's 1533-position model. The record is from RNAcentral.
AGUGGCAGACGUGUGAGUGACGCGUGGGUACCAUGCCUUAUACAGGGGAUUACAGCCGGAAACGGUUGCUAAUUCCGCAUAAGCGCACAGUACUGCAUGAUACAGUGUGAAAAGAGUUAUCGGUAUAAGAUGGACCCGCGUCUGAUUAGCUAGUUGGUGAGGUAACGGCUCACCAAGGCAACGAUCAGUAGCCGGCUUGAGAGAGUGAACGGCCACAUUGGGACUGAGACACGGCCCAAACUCCUACGGGAGGCAGCAGUGGGGAAUAUUGCACAAUGGGGGAAACCCUGAUGCAGUGACGCCGCGUGAGUGAAGAAGUAUUUCGGUAUGUAAAGCUCUAUCAGCAGGGACGAUAAUGACGGUACCUGACUAAGAAGCCCCGGCUAACUACGUGCCAGCAGCCGCGGUAAUACGUAGGGGGCAAGCGUUAUCCGGAUUUACUGGGUGUAAAGGGAGCGUAGACGGCUAAAUAAGUCAGAUGUGAAAGCCCAGGGCUCAACCCUGGGACUGCAUUUGAAACUAUGUAGCUAGAGUGCAGGAGAGGUAAGUGGAAUUCCUAGUGUAGCGGUGAAAUGCGUAGAUAUUAGGAGGAACACCAGUGGCGAAGGCGGCUUACUGGACUGUAACUGACGUUGAGGCUCGAAAGCGUGGGGAGCAAACAGGAUUAGAUACCCUGGUAGUCCACGCUGUAAACGAUGAAUACUAGGUGUCGGGGCCCUUCCGGGCUUCGGUGCCGCCGCUAACGCAUUAAGUAUUCCACCUGGGGAGUACGUUCGCAAGAAUGAAA